UUUGGCAUUCGAGCUUACUCCCAACCCAAUGUGACGUUACCAAACUGUUGCCUCGGCGGGAUCUCUGCCCCGGGUGCGUCGCAGCCCCGGACCAAGGCGCCCGCCGGAGGACCAACCUAAAACUCUUAUUGUAUACCCCCUCGCGGGUUUUUUUAUAAUCUGAGCCUUCUCGGCGCCUCUCGUAGGCGUUUCGAAAAUGAAUCAAAACUUUCAACAACGGAUCUCUUGGUUCUGGCAUCGAUGAAGAACGCAGCGAAAUGCGAUAAGUAAUGUGAAUUGCAGAAUUCAGUGAAUCAUCGAAUCUUUGAACGCACAUUGCGCCCGCCAGUAUUCUGGCGGGCAUGCCUGUCCGAGCGUCAUUUCAACCCUCGAACCCCUCCGGGGGGUCGGCGUUGGGGAUCGGCCCUCCCUUAGCGGGGUGGCCGUCUCCGAAAUACAGUGGCGGUCUCGCCGCAGCCUCUCCUGCGCAGUAGUUUGCACACUCGCAUCGGGAGCGCGGCGCGUCCACAGCCGUUAAACACCCAACUUCUGAAAUGUUGACCUCGGAUCAGGUAGGAAUACCCGCUGAACUUAAGCAUAUCAUAGUCGGGGAGGAAU
This 597-nucleotide ribosomal RNA is filed under the name Trichoderma harzianum. RNAcentral's name for it is "eukaryotic LSU rRNA". The stretch from base 206 to 359 matches the Rfam family "5.8S ribosomal RNA". Lineage: Eukaryota; Fungi; Ascomycota; Sordariomycetes; Hypocreales; Hypocreaceae. The record is from RNAcentral.